CUUACAUACGAGAUUUACAACUUUGCAUGUUUCACUAAAGAAGAAUUUUGCACCUUUUGAAUUCAUGGUAAGUUCACUUUAUCUUGUUUUAAAAGAGGGACGAAAAAUACCAGAGGGACAGUCAAACUCAUAAAUAGACAAUAAACUGACAACGCCAUGUCUAAAAACGAAAAGGGCAAACAGAUAAACAAUAGUACACAUAACACAACAUAGAAAACUAAAGAAUAAACAACACGAACCCCACCAAAAACUAGGGGUGAUCUCAGAUACUCCGGAAGGGUAAGCAGAUCCUGCUCCACAUGUGAAUUAAACAUGCCCAAUAGAGUGAUUCAAAAAUUAAUUAAAAGACAAAUACACUGCAACAAAACAAUUCACGAAAACUUUCUGCAUUUUCCAUUUGAAAAUUUUAAAUUUUGUAAAUUUAACAUAUCUUUACUAUAUGUUAAAUUUACAAAAUUUACAACUGCAAGGAUGCAACGAAUUAUUCAAAUCAAUUUCGACCAUAUUUCAUAUAAAUCGCUGUUUUCCUUUUAGUUAAUAUGUUACAAAAAAGAAAACAAACAAUAAAAUUAUUAGUUUCGAUUUUAUAGAUUCAAUUUUUGAGCAAUGCAUCGUUCUUAUACUCGUUUAUUGAAAAUUAAAGACAAAGUACGUAUAUUUUCAAAAAAAAUAAUUAAAAUUUAAAUAAUCUAAUCCGAAAAAAAUCAUUGAACUUGUAUUUUGUAGACGAUAUCAACCUUCAAAAAAGUAUUACUGCAUCACAGCAUAUGAACAGAUAUUUACUCAGUAACGUAUAAUCUCAAAUGAAAAUUUAUUAUCACAGAAAUUGCGUCGUUUAUGCAAUGUAAUACUAUUGUAUUCCAUUAUGAAAAAAUUGCUUAAUAUGAUAAAAUAAAAUGUAUAUCAUUUCAAAUUAUUAUUUAACCUUUUAUUUUUUAAAAUGAAAAGAAACCGAUAUUCUUUUCAUCAGAUUUUUAUUCAAUAGUGUUGUAAUCUACUAAAUUAUCACAUGUCCUCUAAAAUCAAGUCACGAAAACGUUUUUUUAUAAUAGUGUUGUAUUGAAUAAUCAACUCCAUCUUAUAUAAGAAUAAUGUAUAAACUUUCAUAUUUUUGUUAACUAUGAACAAUAAGCUAUAAAGGUAAUUAUAAAAACAUGAUAUGUAAUAGUCUUAAGAUAAAAAUCCACGAAUAUUAAAAUUAUUCUUAAAACAAUUUUUUUUUAAUUAUUUUAUUAAAAAUAAGAUAAAAUCAUCAUUCUAAAGCGUGUGUCUGAAGACUUUAGUUAUAAGAAAAUGCAAAUAUUGGUUCGUCUUGAAUACUGUGUAAUAACCCUUCCCCUAGACAGUCUGUUUUUGAAGUAGGAGAAAACCUAAUAAAGUAGGGAUAUUUUAAGUGUAAAUUAAAUAGAAGCGUUCAUGAAAACGGGUGUUUUUUUUUUUUAUUAAUAUGAGUUCGAAAACGAAAUGUAAUGAAGAUAAUGCUUAUUUCUUUGAUAAUGGAGUUUGUUUUAAACAUAAAUUACGGGUUCGAACAGAAAAAAUAUCAUAAUAUUAAAGAUUAUAAAUUGAUUCACUAAAAUAUCGGAAUAUGAGGCAUUGCACAAAUUGAAUUUUAUAAAUGUGCUAUUUGAGGGAUACAAAUAUGGUAUAGUGUGUUAAAUCGGAUAAAAAUUGAUACUGUUAUUAUCAUAAAAAAAAUCAAUAUAAUCAUAAUUUCAUUUAUUUAUAACUUUUAUAAGUCUCUGUUGAAAUGCUGACUAAUUUUAAUACUGUAAGAUUUAAAUUUUUCAUCUCUAUCUGUGAAAUUGCUUAUAUAAGAGUUAUUCCUAUGACCAGUCUUGAUGGAAAUUUGCACUUACGGCCUUUUCAUAUAUAAUUCUAUUACUUAGCUCCUGUUAAUAAAUCGUAUAAUUUAUUACUUAAAUCUGUCAUUAUAAUUAAAUUUUGUUAAUGCAUUACACAAAUUUUCAACAUGCAUAUUUUCAUCUCUAUUUUUUAAUAUCAGCAGAACUAAUGUCUGAGUACAUUAAUUUAAUAAUUUUUAAUUGAUAUCUGGACAAUAAAUAUGACUGCAAAUAUUUGACAGGGGCGAGUUCAACCAUGGAGUAAAAGAAAAGAACAAAAACUUAAAAGCUGAAUAUUUGAUGUCAAAUCAGAAAACGUUCAUGAAGAAACCAGCACGUACCAAUGCGUUCAUGGCACAUUUGAUAUUAUUUUAAUAACU
Molecule: long non-coding RNA, 2224 nt
Filed under: Mytilus galloprovincialis (Mediterranean mussel)
Lineage: Eukaryota; Metazoa; Mollusca; Bivalvia; Mytilida; Mytilidae
Source: RNAcentral